CACACGACUCUCGGCAACGGAUAUCUCAGCUCUCGCAUCGAUGAAGAACGUAGCAAAAUGCGAUACCUGGUGUGAAUUGCAGAAUCCUGCGAACCAUCGAGUUUUUGAACGCAAGUUGCGCCCGAGGCCUUCUGGCUGAGGGCACGCCUGCCUGGGCGUCACGC
RNAcentral lists this ribosomal RNA (164 nucleotides) under Hordeum brevisubulatum. RNAcentral's name for it is "5.8S ribosomal RNA". It matches the Rfam family "5.8S ribosomal RNA". Rfam says of the family: 5.8S ribosomal RNA (5.8S rRNA) is a component of the large subunit of the eukaryotic ribosome. It is transcribed by RNA polymerase I as part of the 45S precursor that also contains 18S and 28S rRNA. The record is from RNAcentral. Lineage: Eukaryota; Viridiplantae; Streptophyta; Magnoliopsida; Poales; Poaceae.